Molecule: ribosomal RNA, 253 nt
Filed under: uncultured bacterium
Lineage: Bacteria
Description: partial 16S ribosomal RNA
Rfam family: Bacterial small subunit ribosomal RNA
Source: RNAcentral
UACGGAGGGUGCGAGCGUUGUCCGGAAUUAUUGGGCGUAAAGAGCUCGUAGGCGGUUUGUCGCGUCUGCUGUGAAAACUCGGGGCUUAACUCCGGGCCUGCAGUGGGUACGGGCAGACUAGAGUGCGGUAGGGGAGACUGGAAUUCCUGGUGUAGCGGUGAAAUGCGCAGAUAUCAGGAGGAACACCGGUGGCGAAGGCGGGUCUCUGGGCCGUAACUGACGCUGAGGAGCGAAAGCGUGGGGAGCGAACAGG